This 501-nucleotide ribosomal RNA is filed under the name uncultured bacterium. RNAcentral's name for it is "partial 16S ribosomal RNA". It matches the Rfam family "Bacterial small subunit ribosomal RNA", at positions 30 to 523 of the family's 1533-position model. The record is from RNAcentral.
AUUGAACGCUGGCGGCAGGCUUAACACAUGCAAGUCGAGCGGGGAAGGGUAGCUUGCUACCUGACCUAGCGGCGGACGGGUGAGUAAUGCUUAGGAAUCUGCCUAUUAGUGGGGGACAACAUUCCGAAAGGAAUGCUAAUACCGCAUACGCCCUACGGGGGAAAGCAGGGGAUCUUCGGACCUUGCGCUAAUAGAUGAGCCUAAGUCAGAUUAGCUAGUUGGUGGGGUAAAGGCCUACCAAGGCGACGAUCUGUAGCGGGUCUGAGAGGAUGAUCCGCCACACUGGGACUGGAACACGUCCCAGACUCCGACGGGAGGCAGCAGUGGGGAAUAUUGGACAAUGGGCGCAAGCCUGAUCCAGCCAUGCCACGUGUGUGAAGAAGGCCUUUUGGUUGUAAAGCACUUUAAGCGAGGAGGAGGCUACUGAGAUUAAUACUCUUGGAUAGUGGACGUUACUCGCAGAAUAAGCACCGGCUAACUCUGUGCCAGCCGCCGCCGUAA